This 301-nucleotide ribosomal RNA is filed under the name uncultured bacterium. RNAcentral's name for it is "partial 16S ribosomal RNA". It matches the Rfam family "Bacterial small subunit ribosomal RNA", at positions 509 to 807 of the family's 1533-position model. The record is from RNAcentral.
CAGUCGCCACGGGAAUACGGAGGGUGCAAGCGUUAAUCGGAAUUACUGGGCGUAAAGCGCACGCAGGCGGUUUGUUAAGUCAGAUGUGAAAUCCCCGAGCUUAACUUGGGAACUGCAUUUGAAACUGGCAAGCUAGAGUCUUGUAGAGGGGGGUAGAAUUCCAGGUGUAGCGGUGAAAUGCGUAGAGAUCUGGAGGAAUACCGGUGGCGAAGGCGGCCCCCUGGACAAAGACUGACGCUCAGGUGCGAAAGCGUGGGGAGCAAACAGGAUUAGAUACCCGGGUAGUCCCUGUCUCUUAUAC